Molecule: ribosomal RNA, 253 nt
Filed under: uncultured bacterium
Lineage: Bacteria
Description: partial 16S ribosomal RNA
Rfam family: Bacterial small subunit ribosomal RNA
Source: RNAcentral
UACGAGGGGGGCAACUGUUGUUCGGAAUCACUGGGCGUAAAGGGAGCGUAGGCGGGUUUUUAAGUCAGGUGUUUAAUCCCGGGGCCCAACCCCGGACAGGCACUUGAAACUGGGAAUCUUGAAUAGGGGAGAGGUCAGUGGAAUUGGAGGUGUAGCGGUGGAAUGCGUAGAGAUCUCCAAGAACACCAGUUGCGAAGGCGGCUGACUGGACCCAUAUUGACGCUGAGGCUCGAAAGCAUGGGGAGCAAACAGG